GUGCUCACUUCAGCAGCACAUGUACUAAAAGUGGAACAAUACAGGGAAGAUUAGUGUGGCCUGUGCGCAAGGAUGACAUGCAGACUCGUGAAGUAUUCCAUAUAUUU
Molecule: small nuclear RNA, 107 nt
Organism: Bison bison bison
Lineage: Eukaryota; Metazoa; Chordata; Mammalia; Artiodactyla; Bovidae
Source: Ensembl